RNAcentral lists this ribosomal RNA (254 nucleotides) under uncultured bacterium. RNAcentral's name for it is "partial 16S ribosomal RNA". It matches the Rfam family "Bacterial small subunit ribosomal RNA", at positions 524 to 776 of the family's 1533-position model. The record is from RNAcentral.
CACGUAGGGUGCGAGCGUUGUCCGGAAUUAUUGGGCGUAAAGAGCUCGUAGGCGGUGUGUCGCGUCGGCCGUGAAAACCUGCAGCUUAACUGUGGGCUUGCGGUCGAUACGGGCAUCACUGGAGUUCGGCAGGGGAGACUGGAAUUCCUGGUGUAGCGGUGAAAUGCGCAGAUAUCAGGAGGAACACCGGUGGCGAAGGCGGGUCUCUGGGCCGAUAUUGACGCUGAGGAGCGAAAGCGUGGGGAGCAAACAGG